GUACGCCUACAAAACAGGUAGAGAGACUGUGGUGAGCCCUGACUAUUCAGAACUGAAUUUCCUACUUCUAAGGAGGACAGGACCCUGAGAAUAUUAAUGAGCCUGUUACUUACGAAAUAGGGGACAAAGAAGCAAAUGAGGCUCUGAUAGAAGGCAUCCAACAUUGUAAUAAUAAAAGUUGAUCUGUUGUAUAUCUGCAAGAGUUAAUGACAGUAGUUAUGAUGGGAUAUAUACGUCUCUGGUCUGUCCUGCAAACAUAAUUGCUGUCUGUUUUUCUUCCAUUCAGACUACUGAUUAUUGCUAACUGGUCUCCUCCAUGAGUAAAUGCCUCCUGUGCCACUGAUUAAGCCAAAGGCUUAUCUCUGUGUUAAGUAAAACUAGACCUUAGGAAUAUUAACAAUUCUAUAAGGAGUCUUAAAAGCUGUAUUUCACUGUCGCAUCCCUUCAGAAGGGAUAUUAUGGCUCAAAUUCUUUAUCAAAACUCUUUCUAGAGUUAUAAAUUUGGUAAAAAAUCCUUUCUUCUAGUGAAGCAUUUAUUUUUUGCCAUUUUAAUUUGACUAUUUGUCAUAGUAAACUUAUCUAGUGGCAGGGGUGACAGCUCCCAUGGAGUGGAAUUCAAUACUGGAGAGACAGAAGGCUGGGCUCCUGUUGUUUCAACGUUCCAACUCGGGCAGACAUAGGAGUGUUUCUGCAGAAACAUCUUUAUCAAGGGCUCCAAAGAGAAGAGGGGGCACUGAGGUGAAGAAGAGGUUGAAAAAAAUCAUCUGCCAGUAAUCUAUCAUGGUGCUGCCUGAGAACCCACAGAAGAACUGGUACCAGAAGAGCAGGUUGGCGUAGCACUGUGGAGAAGCAAAUACAAACACGUAGUUCCACCUGUGACGUUUAUGUGGGACAUUGGUUUGUAACAGAGUAUCCUAAGAGACAGGUUUUUGGUUAAAGGCACUGCACUUCAUUCCAUAACGCAGUAUAUCUUAAGUGUCUGUUUCACAGUGAUCCACUGUGAUACAGCUUUUUAAAAGCCAUUAUGUUUCUUUAAGAACAUAUCAGAGAAUAAUUAAGUAAACUGUUCACAGCUGUGAGCACCAGAUUUUAAAAUCCUUUUACAGUCUCGUUGUCCAUAUGGAAUUAAAGGCGUGCUGCUCCCUAUUGCUACUGGGGAGAUGAAAGAACAGCAGCAUCCCAGUCUGGAGAACUAUUUCACAUUGCAAAUAAAUAUCCUUUGAACUCUAAAAGGAUGUUCAAUCAAAGAAAGAAAAGUGUUAAUUUCCACUACAAAUUUUAACAGUGAUAAGAAGUAAUCCUUAUUGAAAAUCAUUAAAAACUCCACAAAAGAUACCUGGAAUUCUAAAUAAAAAGCCUUUAAUGCUCAGAGUGUAUUUCAUGUCAAAUUGACUUGUUUGCCCAGUCUUGUAGAAACUGAAUUACUUCAUUUUUUCCAUUUUAUGUUAUACUUCAAUGCAGAGCUCAUUUGUGUAUACAUUAAAUUUUUAAUAAAAAUGACAGAUAUGACUGCA
Long non-coding RNA from Corvus hawaiiensis (hawaiian crow), 1514 nucleotides. RefSeq lists it as uncharacterized. The record is from RefSeq and is a predicted model, not a curated record. The transcript is spliced from 2 exons. NCBI's taxonomy places the organism in Eukaryota, Metazoa, Chordata, Aves, Passeriformes, Corvidae.